CUUAAGCAUAUCAAUAAGCGGAGGAAAAGAAACCAACAGGGAUUGCCCUAGUAACGGCGAGUGAAGCGGCAACAGCUCAAAUUUGAAAUCUGGCGCAAGCCCGAGUUGUAAUUUGUAGAGGAUGCUUCUGGGUAGCGACCGAUCUAAGUUCCUUGGAACAGGACGUCAUAGAGGGUGAGAAUCCCGUAUGUGACCGGCCCGCACCCUUUACGUAGCUCCUUCGACGAGUCGAGUUGUUUGGGAAUGCAGCUCUAAAUGGGAGGUAAAUUUCUUCUAAAGCUAAAUACCGGCCAGAGACCGAUAGCGCACAAGUAGAGUGAUCGAAAGAUGAAAAGUACUUUGGAAAGAGAGUUAAAAAGCACGUGAAAUUGUUGAAAGGGAAGCGCCUGCAACCAGACUUCGCGGCAGUGUUCCGCCGGUCUUCUGACCGGUUCAUUCUCUGUCGCGAGGCCAUCAUCGUCUGGGCCCGCCGGAUAAGACCUGAGGAAUGUGGCUCCCCCUCGGGGGAGUGUUAUAGCCUCUGGUGAUGCGGCGUGGCUCGGGCGAGGUCCGCGCUUCGGCAAGGAUGAUGGCGUAAUGGUUGUCGGCGGCCCGUCUUGAAACACGGACCAAGGAGUCUAACAUCUAUGCGAGUGUUCGGGUGUCAAACCCCUACGCGUAAUGAAAGUGAACGGAGGUGGGAACCGCAAGGUGCACCAUCGACCGAUCCUGAUGUCCUCGGAUGGAUUUGAGUAAGAGCAUAGCUGUUGGGACCCGAAAGAUGGUGAACUAUGCCUGAAUAGGGUGAAGCCAGAGGAAACUCUGGUGGAGGCUCGCAGCGGUUCUGACGUGCAAAUCGAUCGUCAAAUUUGGGUAUAGGGGCGAAAGACUAAUCG
Molecule: ribosomal RNA, 875 nt
Filed under: Cercospora sojina
Lineage: Eukaryota; Fungi; Ascomycota; Dothideomycetes; Mycosphaerellales; Mycosphaerellaceae
Description: eukaryotic LSU rRNA
Rfam family: Eukaryotic large subunit ribosomal RNA
Source: RNAcentral